RNAcentral lists this non-coding RNA (21 nucleotides) under Caenorhabditis elegans. Lineage: Eukaryota; Metazoa; Nematoda; Chromadorea; Rhabditida; Rhabditidae. The record is from RNAcentral.
UAGUCUUUACGAUACAUAUGA